ACACGUAGGGAGCAAGCGUUGUCCGGAUUUAUUGGGCGUAAAGAGCUCGUAGGCGGUUUUGUAAGUCGGAUGUGAAAACUCAGGGCUCAACCCGGAGACGCCAUCCGAUACUGCAAUGACUAGAGUCCGGUAGGGGAGCAUGGAAUUCCUGGUGUAGCGGUGGAAUGCGCAGAUAUCAGGAGGAACACCAGUGGCGAAGGCGGUGCUCUGGGCCGGUACUGACGCUGAGGAGCGAAAGCAUGGGGAGCAAACAGGAUUAGAUACCCCGGUAGUCC
Molecule: ribosomal RNA, 275 nt
Filed under: uncultured bacterium
Lineage: Bacteria
Description: partial 16S ribosomal RNA
Rfam family: Bacterial small subunit ribosomal RNA
Source: RNAcentral